RNAcentral lists this ribosomal RNA (510 nucleotides) under uncultured Prevotella sp. Its description in RNAcentral is "partial 16S ribosomal RNA". The record is from RNAcentral. Lineage: Bacteria; Pseudomonadati; Bacteroidota; Bacteroidia; Bacteroidales; Prevotellaceae.
CACGGAAUUAGCCGGUCCUUAUUCAUACAGUACCUACAAAUAACCACACGUGGCUAACUUUAUUCCUGUAUAAAAGCAGUUUACAACCCAUAGGGCCGUCAUCCUGCACGCUACUUGGCUGGUUCAGGCUCUCGCCCAUUGACCAAUAUUCCUCACUGCUGCCUCCCGUAGGAGUUUGGACCGUGUCUCAGUUCCAAUGUGGGGGACCUUCCUCUCAGAACCCCUACUGAUCGUUGCCUUGGUGGGCCGUUACCCCGCCAACAAGCUAAUCAGACGCAUCCCCAUCCAUAACCGAUAAAUCUUUAUUCCUCAUCCGAUGCCUUCAGAGGAAAUUAUAAGGUAUUAGUCUUACUUUCGCAAGGUUAUUCCUUAGUUGUGGGCAGGUUGGAUACGCGUUACUCACCCGUGCGCCGGUCGUCGACAAGGAAAGCAAGCUUCCCUCUCGUUACCCCUCGACUUGCAUGUGUUAAGCCUGUAGCUAGCGUUCAUCCUGAGCCAGGAUCAAACUCU